This is a long non-coding RNA of Equus asinus (donkey), 1993 nucleotides long. Lineage: Eukaryota; Metazoa; Chordata; Mammalia; Perissodactyla; Equidae. The record is from Ensembl.
CCCCGGGCUCUCCGCGCUGCUACCUUUGGUUCGGAAGGGGGAGGAGGGCUGGCAGGGGGCUGGGGAACGGGAAAGGGGACCCCGGGAGCAUCCCCAGUGAACCUCAUCGCUUGGAAGCACGGCCACCCAAGUGACUCCGAGGACAAAGGAGGUGACACACAGACUCUACAGGUGGUCCGGGGUGGCCCUGGAAGAGCCCGCCUUUACCUAACCCUAGCCCCCCGCAGUGUCCCGCGGUUCUGAGCGAAGAGCACCCCAGGCCCAGAAGGGUCGGGGUGUCUGCAGAGAGACGUGACCUCACACCAGAUCCAAGACACCUUUAACCUCGCUAAACACGUGCAGUUUUCAACUCUACAGCAGGAGAGAGUACCUGGCGCCCCCGGGGGUGGAUCCCCAACCGAGAAAAGCGGUCUUUGGGAGGAGUCCACUGCGCCACCCACUCAUCAGUCUCCACGUAUUACCCAAGCUCUGGCGGCCCCUUUAAGAACUCACCUGUAGCCGCCUCCUCCGAAGCCGAGCCGCCCUCCGUUCGCAGAACUGGUUUAAGUUUUGAUUGCAGCCCCGAGCGGGACUCCAGGACGCCCAGGACCUCGCUCCGGGGCUGUAGGAGAAUCACGGGAAGCUCUCCAAGUUACUGCCCAGGUCUUCGAGCCUCUUCUAGAUAACAAGACUCUCCCUGCUCUGAGGUUGAGAGAGAAGAAUUUGCCCAGGGUCAUCCAGUGUUGGUGACAAAACUGGAAACACGGAGAUCUUGUCUUUCAAAACCGGAAGACUCUUCCCAGUAAACUUGACAGCUUGUCACCGAGGCCAUAUCCUUGGGCUAGUAAAGGGAAGUGUCGGGAACCUUGUACUGUAACCAUAACAGUUAGUCAGAGGUAUGCUGACCACUGGGUUUCACUUUUGAAUUGCAGCCUAACCUGGGAGAACCCAACGACUUGAGGGCUCAUCUAGACUCCCCGUCUCAGUUUAAGAUAAAGAAACUCAGGUCCAGAGAGGAGAAGCAACUUGCCCAAGGACGUAUAGGCUAAUCUGUGACAGAAGCCCAGAAUUAGGUCUCCUAGCUGCAGUCCAGGGCUCUUUCCACUGUAAUGUUGGACAACUCGACAGUGGUAUGUUGGUAUAUUGGCAGCAGAUCUCUAUGCUGUCCUGGAUCAAGAAUCUUUGGAGCUUGAGCAACAGUUAAAACAACACUUCAUAGAAGAAAUGGGAUGGAAAAGUGAGGGAAAUCUAACAACAAGAAGCUUAAAUAGAGAGAUUUUUUAAAAUAGGGAAAUAGGGGCCUUUUUAAUUAGUGAAGAUGGCUGAUGUCAUGCAUCUGUUAUUAUUAAGACUUCAUUGAUGAACUGUGAAUGGAAUAGUUCCACUUAAGGAACCAUUCUAAGAGUGGAAUCUCAUCAGAAUUCAGGAGAAGGAGAGAGGGAUUUCACCCUCCCUCUUAAUAUCAUUCAUUGUUCAUAUAUGUUCACUUGCUAGGUGAUGGGGAUAGAAAUGAAUAAUAUCCAAGUCCAGCUCUCAAGGACCCACAGCCUGGUACCAAAUGGAUAAAGGUGGCUCUGCUCGGGAAUGGGCUGACCCCCUGGAAUCUGAGGCAAAAGGAGAGAGAAUGAAAAGAACAAAUAAGGAGGAGUGACCCUGGCUUCUGUCAGAGGAAGGUCCAGAACAAGAAGAUUCCGCCAGGGCAGAAGCAACAGCAAUAGCACCUUUCCUUUGGAUGGCACUUUGAGGGUCACAAAGCCCUCUCACCAUCAUCAUCCUCCAUGACUUACAUGACAUCCUUUCCUGGCAAUGGGGGCAGGUAUCACCAUCACAAGUUCACAAAGGAGAAACCUGAUGCUCAGACAUUUUUAAAGGACUUGGCCAGAGUCAUAUUUGCUCAGAAGUCUCGGGGCCAUUGUUAACAUUCUUACUGACCUGUGACCUCUUCCAUUCGGCUGUUUAGAAAAAAGACUUAGAUCCUCUGCCUCAAUAAAUUCUGAUGCAUGCACAAACCUAA